Molecule: non-coding RNA, 46 nt
Organism: Acanthisitta chloris (rifleman)
Lineage: Eukaryota; Metazoa; Chordata; Aves; Passeriformes; Acanthisittidae
Source: Rfam
AAAAUGGCUCUCCUUAGAGCCAUUCAGGCAGUCAGCCCAAGGGUGU